CAUGCGGCGAGCUAUACAUGCAAGUCGAGCGGACAGAUGGGAGCUUGCUCCCUGAUGUUAGCGGCGGACGGGUGAGUAACACGUGGGUAACCUGCCUGUAAGACUGGGAUAACUCCGGGAAACCGGGGCUAAUACCGGAUGCUUGUUUGAACCGCAUGGUUCAAACAUAAAAGGUGGCUUCGGCUACCACUUACAGAUGGACCCGCGGCGCAUUAGCUAGUUGGUGAGGUAAUGGCUCACCAAGGCAACGAUGCGUAGCCGACCUGAGAGGGUGAUCGGCCACACUGGGACUGAGACACGGCCCAGACUCCUACGGGAGGCAGCAGUAGGGAAUCUUCCGCAAUGGACGAAAGUCUGACGGAGCAACGCCGCGUGAGUGAUGAAGGUUUUCGGAUCGUAAAGCUCUGUUGUUAGGGAAGAACAAGUGCCGUUCAAAUAGGGCGGCACCUUGACGGUACCUAACCAGAAAGCCACGGCUAACUACGUGCCAGCAGCCGCGGUAAUACGUAGGUGGCAAGCGUUGUCCGGAAUUAUUGGGCGUAAAGGGCUCGCAGGCGGUUUCUUAAGUCUGAUGUGAAAGCCCCCGGCUCAACCGGGGAG
This 600-nucleotide ribosomal RNA is filed under the name Bacillus vallismortis. Its description in RNAcentral is "bacterial SSU rRNA". It matches the Rfam family "Bacterial small subunit ribosomal RNA", at positions 36 to 620 of the family's 1533-position model. The record is from RNAcentral. Lineage: Bacteria; Bacillati; Bacillota; Bacilli; Caryophanales; Bacillaceae.